CCCCACCAACCACAGCUUGAACUCCAAAAGAGGGCAGUAAAAAUUACUACUCCACCAAAGCACUUCAUCACUCAAGUUACUAGCCUAGAUCCUAACCCUAACCCUGGACAAGAUUAGCAGCUCCCAACACACCAAAGCUGAAAAAAGCUAAAAAAGCCAAGAAAUGACAGCGGAGGAGGAGCAGCAGGAAAAGACAUCGCAGGGGAGGAAGAAAGUCCGGUAAAUCCAGAAAGUGGGCGUGGUAUCUAUCUAUCUAUCUAUCUUUCCCUAGAUUUUCUUAUUCCCCCCUCCCCUAUCUCUCUCUCCUCGGCGUCUUCUCUUCUCUCCCCAUCGCCAUCUGCGGUCCAUUAUUGGUCUCCUCCUCCCUUGUUCUUGCCUGGUUUUUGGGGAAGGGGAGGGAGGCGGGGAGGGCGAUUUGGCAGGAGGAAGACGAAGAAGGAGAGGAGGAAAGCUGUUGAUUUUGGGGGACGGACGGCAAGUUGGUGUGGUUGUUUUGCGUGUGGGUGUGGAGAUGGACCCCAAGUUCCCCCCUCCCCCACCGCUAAACAAAGCGGAGCCCACCUCCGCGGCGACGGCCACCACCACCACCUCCUCCCCCUCCUCCACGCCCGCCCAGCACCACCAGCAGCAGCACCACCAGCAGCAGCAGCUGGAUCGCGAGCAGUACCACCACCCGCCGGCGCAGGAGCAGCAGCAGCCGCCGCAUCAGCAGCACCUGCAAAUCCAGGUGCAUCAGCAGCAGGAGGAUGGGGGCGGGGGCGGGGGGAAGGAGCAGCAGCAGCAGCAGCAGCAGCAGGCGGUGGUGGCCGCGGCGGCGGCGGCGGGGGACCGGAGGGUGCAGGCGCUGGGGCCCAAGCGGAGCUCCAACAAGGACCGCCACACCAAGGUGGACGGCCGGGGGCGCCGGAUCCGGAUGCCGGCGCUCUGCGCCGCGCGGAUCUUCCAGCUCACGCGCGAGCUCGGCCACAAGUCCGACGGCGAGACCGUGCAGUGGCUGCUGCAGCAGGCCGAGCCGGCCAUCGUCGCCGCCACCGGCACGGGCACCAUACCGGCGUCCGCGCUCUCCUCCGUCGCGCCCUCGCUCCCCUCGCCCACCUCCGCGCUCGCCGGCCGCCCGCACCACCACCACCACAUGUGGGGGCCGCCGCCGGCCUCCGCGGGCUUCUCGCAGGCCGGCUUCAUGAACUCCUCCGGCGCCGACGGCGGGGGCAUCGGCGGCCUCAUGCAGCGGAUUGGCCUCCCCGCCGGGAUCGAGCUGCCGGGCGGCGGCGCGGGGGGCAUGGGUGGCCACAUCGGGUUCGCGCCCAUGUUCGCCGGCCACGCGGCCGCGGCCAUACCGGGGCUGGAGCUCGGCCUGUCGCAGGAGGGCCACAUCGGGGUGCUCAGCCAGUUCUACCACCAGGUCGGCGGCGCCGCCGGGGCCAGCGGGCAGCUGCAGCACCCGCACCCGCACCCCCACCAGCACCACCACCACGAACAGCAGCACCACCAGCAGCAGCAGCAGCAGGACGGGGAGGACGAGCGCGAGGACGGCGACUCCGAGGAGGAGUCCGGGCAGUAGCAGGCUGUUGUCCACUUGUUAUCACCACAUCUGUUUCUGUUAAUUUCUGCAGAAGGAGAAACCAAGGAAGGAGAGAAAACUGUAUGCACGCAGCUAUGGCGACGCUUUGAUUACCUUUAGGUUGUUGUUGUUCGUUUCUUGGGCUUGUGAUGAGUUUUUAAGUCGAUUUUUUUCACUUGUGGUGUCCAAACUCAAAAGAGGCUUCUUGCUCUGGGGUUUUAGUGGAAUGGAUCAGGGUCAUCCUCAGUUCCUACUCCUGCUGCUCCUUUGAUCAUCGCCAGAAUUCCCUCCGGUUCAGGUGUAUAAUAGCUGAGAGCUGGAUGAUUUCGAUCAUCCUCCCUUGAGUGAGUGCCUUAUUUGUUGUUAUUGCAAGGUGUGUAGAUAUUCAGGUGAUUUUGCAGCUAGGGAGGUGUUCUUUUAUAGGAGCAGUGAUCUGCUCUUGAGCGAUCAAGAUGAUGGCUGGCAAUUUUAUCCUCCCUUCCCACGGGCAAUUUCUGCAACGAAAAUAUGAUACAAUAAUAAACAUUUCUAGAUCCCUGAUUCUAUAUGCUUAUCUUCUUAGACAAUCAUUUUAUAUAGCAUUAUCCUUGUUUGCUU
Molecule: ribosomal RNA, 2158 nt
Filed under: Triticum aestivum (bread wheat)
Lineage: Eukaryota; Viridiplantae; Streptophyta; Magnoliopsida; Poales; Poaceae
Description: partial small subunit ribosomal RNA
Source: RNAcentral